GCACAAGCGGUGGAGCAUGUGGUUUAAUUCGACGCAACGCGAAGAACCUUACCAGGGCUUGACAUCCCCUGACCGCGUAUGAAAGUACGUUUUCACCCUCGGGUGACAGGGAGACAGGUGGUGCAUGGUUGUCGUCAGCUCGUGUCGUGAGAUGUUGGGUUAAGUCCCGCAACGAGCGCAACCCCUACGUUUAGUUGCUAACAGGUGAAGCUGAGCACUCUAGACGAACUGCCGUUGACAAAACGGAGGAAGGUGGGGAUGACGUCAAAUCAUCAUGCCCCUUAUGUUCUGGGCUACACACGUGCUACAAUGGCCGGUACAGACGGACGCAAAGCCGCGAGGUGGAGCAAAUCCUAAAAAGCCGGUCUCAGUUCGGAUUGCAGGCUGCAAUUCGCCUGCAUGAAGUCGGAAUCGCUAGUAAUCGCAGGUCAGCAUACUGCGGUGAAUACGUUCCCGGGCCUU
This 462-nucleotide ribosomal RNA is filed under the name uncultured Pelotomaculum sp. RNAcentral describes it as "bacterial SSU rRNA". It matches the Rfam family "Bacterial small subunit ribosomal RNA", at positions 923 to 1382 of the family's 1533-position model. The record is from RNAcentral. Lineage: Bacteria; Bacillati; Bacillota; Clostridia; Eubacteriales; Desulfotomaculaceae.